Molecule: ribosomal RNA, 237 nt
Filed under: uncultured bacterium
Lineage: Bacteria
Description: partial 16S ribosomal RNA
Rfam family: Bacterial small subunit ribosomal RNA
Source: RNAcentral
CCGUAGCCCAAGAGACUGGGAUAACACCUGGAAACAGAUGCUAAUACCGGAUAACAACACUAGACGCAUGUCUAGAGUUUAAAAGAUGGCUCUGCUAUCACUCUUGGAUGGACCUGCGGUGCAUUAGCUAGUUGGUAAGGUAACGGCUUACCAAGGCAAUGAUGCAUAGCCGAGUUGAGAGACUGAUCGGCCACAUUGGGACUGAGACACGGCCCAAACUCCUACGGGAGGCAGCAG